AGACUGUCAGAGUCCUCACAGGCACAUUUUUGACUCUCAGACUGUGGGGCAUGUUCAUUUCAUUAAGCUUUGCAUUUUGGGUAGAAAGGGUGGAAAGAGAAGUAGUUACCAUCCAGUUGUGAGGAGCUCUUUCUAGAGCAAGCCAGAAAGCUUUCCCAAGUGCCUGCACAUGUAAUUCUGUCUUUGGGCAUAUGAGCCUCACAAUACCUUGUUAAUAUGUUUAAUCUUUCAAGUGUUUUAUACCUUCCAUGGCUCUUUGUUUUGAAACAACAUGUUUCAGUCUGAAAAGAUACAACUGGAAAGUGAAACUCUCUGAUGUUGAGUGGUGCUUCUGGCACUCUGGGUGGUGAUGCUCACCACCAUUUUCCAUGAUGUCUUCUACCCCUGCCCAGUAAGUGGGAGAAAAGCUGGAGAGAGUAAAAAGAUUACACACAGCAACUGAAUUCUAAUGAUAAAUGUAUCUUACAUGCUUAAAGAUUUGUUCCUGACCAAUGUUUCUCAGCUGACCUUAUGGAAAAGACCCAAACCAACCCAAACAACUUGGAGAAGAUUUAAAUGUUAAACUGGAGCUAGUUAUGUUUUAGGAAAUGUCCAUGAGGCCUCACAAUUUGCAAAGGUGUGAUGUUUCCACGAACUGGUGACCAUGAGCAGCAGAGUGAGCUGUACCUUUUGCUGGUGGGCUACAGCACUGCAGAACAGCACAAGAGCUGCUGCCCACCUUCCUGUGGUUCCCCAGCUCACAUCAUCACAAUGUUAUGAAAAAGCCAGUGAAUGCUGUGGCAUACAACUGAGGAGCAAGACAACUUUGUUUGAAGAUCUUGUAUUAUUGAGCAUUUGGUGUUUGUCUUAGAGGCUCUAAAACCUUGAGGGAUCCUUGAUGGUGAGACUUCAGAGCUGGGCCCAGGUGGAGGAGAGUGAGCACAGCCCUGCCUUGCUAGAGACACAUUGUCUCACACCAUUCCUUUUCAUCUCAAUAAGGCAUAUCUCAGCACAAAUCCAGCAAGUAUAGAAGAGCAGGAGGAAAAUCAGCUGGUUUAGUACUGAACCAACCAUGUGGAGAUUUUUCCACCAUGCCAGAGGGGUCUCCAGAUUGACUUUUCUGGUUAUGUUACAUAAAGAAGAUGGAUUACAGCUGAGACUCUGUGCCUGUACUUCUGAGUCACUGAUGGACAAUAAUGGAAUAAAAACAUUGUCUUUUUUGUUAAAUUAGAAUUGGAUCAGCCUAGUGCUUGCUGUCCUUAUUUUCUAUUGCUAUCAGUAGAAAAAGAGUAGAAAAUACUCAAAGCAACCUCAAUUCAAAGUUAGCAAACCCAGCAGUUUAGAGGAAAAUAAACCAAAUAACAAUAGGCCAGGUUGUGCCACUGGACUUAGCACAAAGCUCUUCAUUAAGGCAAUCAGAGAAAAAUGGCAAGCUCUGUUUCUGGCCCAUUCAAAAGUGUGAUGUCAGAGAGUGUUCAUGCUGAGCAGGUUAAUGUAGGAAUGCAGAGAAUCCUGCUGCAAAAUGCUUCCAGAGAUAGUUUAACACCGUGGAAAUGAGUGACAAGAAAGUAAAUACAUCAUCUUGUACCAGCUGGGUAUGAAGUUGUACUGUGAUAAGCAAUGGAGUUUUAUUGAGAAAACACUAAUUAGCAAUAAAUGCCUGCAGUGGAAAGGGUA
Long non-coding RNA from Haemorhous mexicanus (house finch), 1656 nucleotides. RefSeq lists it as uncharacterized. The transcript has 3 exons. NCBI's taxonomy places the organism in Eukaryota, Metazoa, Chordata, Aves, Passeriformes, Fringillidae. The record is from RefSeq and is a predicted model, not a curated record.